UAGCCAGCAAGAAUGACGCUGCAACAGGAUUCUU
RNAcentral lists this non-coding RNA (34 nucleotides) under Mus musculus (house mouse). Lineage: Eukaryota; Metazoa; Chordata; Mammalia; Rodentia; Muridae. The record is from RNAcentral.